UCAUAAUUCUUAUCAAAGGGUUCAAGACCGCACAUAGUACGUUCGCAACACAUCAGUAAGCGAUCUGCGUGUGCGCAGGCCUGUGGUUGCGAUUCAUAGCGGAAAAUUCGUGACUGGAAAAAUAAUGAGUUAAAUAAACACGAACCGUUUCAUUGUGGUGUUGUAAAAUGUGAUAAUUCGACAAAUGUUGCUAAAUCCGUGAUAUUUUAGAAUUUACUAUGGAUUGUUUGCAUGUGAUCAACAAAUAAAUACAUUAAAAUGUGGACAUAUUCGAGCGUGGACAUCCCCGGGCAGCGGGUGACACGGACUGACAGAAUAAGGAUUUACAUCUCGGAAUGUGUAGUGUGUUUCUGCAUUCUAUUUUUUAUAGUGUGCGUUGGCCUGUUGCUGUAUUUAUUCUUCCAUUUAUAUAGUUCUCUAUCGAAUGCCCGAAAGGCUGUCGAAACUAUGAUAGAAAGUUGAGGUAUACGGCGCUGCCAAUAUGAACAAAAAAUAGCUGUCCGUAUUCUAUGUAGUAAACUAUAGGUACGCAAUUAUCAUUGUUAGUAUUGACCAAUUAAUUAAUUCAACUUGGUAAUAGCCUGUCUCGAUGCUGUGAUAAUGUCUUAUUACUAUUAAUCAUAAUUAUCUUCUUUUUUUUGUCACAAUGAAAAUAAAUUUUCCUAUGCAGCUAUGAAGCUUGGAAAACGGUAUGUCGAAUAUUUUAAUAAAAGAACAAGAGGCUCUAUAUUGUUCUUUUAAAAUACAACUCAUUUAAAAUUAAAUAUCGUAAUUUUUUCGUAAGACAAUAAAAAACAUUUAGGUGAAUUUGAUAAUGUAAUCGAGGUAAUUACUGCAUUUACAAUUGGUUUCGAUACUAAAUUUAUGACGAUUUAAAGUAUAUUAUGAACAUGAAAUAAGUUUAUAAAUAGCUAGAAGUGUGAUGUUAAAAAUAUAAUGAUGAAUUUAAUGACGUCAACUUAAACAAAAAUUUUCUUAAUUCAUUAAUUUAACAAUAUGCCAGAAUAUAUAAGAACUAAGAUAGAAUAAAAGAAAAACGUUUGAACAUAAUAAAUUAUAUCAUGGCAUUGUUUUCGCGUCAUAUUGGUAGCGCCUUAUAAAAGCAGAGUACUAAUUCUAUUCUAAAAUAUUUGAUAAGAUAUUAAUAGUUCUUUUCCUGUAUAUUCUAGUUAACGUACUGUUACAGUUGUUUAUUUUGUUCAUUAACGAGUUUUAUACUUUUCAUGUUACGUAAUCAUCGUACCUGUUUAGUUGUAUGUGUUUUAGUUUAUAACUUUAGAACGUAUCAUUUCAUAGCGAAGUAUUAUUAUAUUUAACAGUUUUAAAUGUAAAUAAUCCCAGGAAUCAUUUCACCAUAAUGUACCGAAUUGUAAACAUAAACAGAAUAAAACUUCGAAUAUUUCACAUUGGUUUAAUAUUUGAUUCAGUGGAUGUUUCAGUUAUUAAGUUCCAUGCUUCAUAUCAAAAUGCAACAUUUAAUUAAAACCUGAAUUUUAUGAAAAGCAUUACAUUACGCUGAAUACUCGUAUGUAUGUGUGUUUGCGGAUUUAAUUAAUUGACAAGGUUGUACACACAAUAUUGAACGGCAGAUUAGUCAACGUGAACAAAGAUAGUUUACUGCGUGAGCAAAUUGUAUAUUGUGUUUUUAUAUUAAUAAAAUGCAUAAUAAAUGGUAGUUCCUGAACUUUACUUAAUAUAGGUAUUAACUUAAGUCGAUUAGAUGUAUAUACAUAUGGUAUUUUUGUUAAUAAUUAAAUAGAUACUUUACAUGUA
Molecule: long non-coding RNA, 1773 nt
Organism: Colias croceus (clouded yellow)
Lineage: Eukaryota; Metazoa; Arthropoda; Insecta; Lepidoptera; Pieridae
Exons: 2
Source: RefSeq, a predicted model, not a curated record